UGGAUCCAGACUUUGAUUAUGGCUCAGGAUGAACGCUAGCUACAGGCUUAACACAUGCAAGUCGAGGGGAAACGACAUCGAAAGCUUGCUUUUGAUGGGCGUCGACCGGCGCACGGGUGAGUAACGCGUAUCCAACCUGCCCACCACUUGGGGAUAACCUUGCGAAAGUAAGACUAAUACCCAAUGACGUCUCUAGAAGACAUCUGAAAGAGAUUAAAGAUUUAUCGGUGAUGGAUGGGGAUGCGUCUGAUUAGCUUGUUGGCGGGGUAACGGCCCACCAAGGCGACGAUCAGUAGGGGUUCUGAGAGGAAGGUCCCCCACAUUGGAACUGAGACACGGUCCAAACUCCUACGGGAGGCAGCAGUGAGGAAUAUUGGUCAAUGGACGAGAGUCUGAACCAGCCAAGUAGCGUGCAGGAAGACGGCCCUAUGGGUUGUAAACUGCUUUUAUAAGGGAAUAAAGUGAGAGUCGUGACUCUUUUUGCAUGUACCUUAUGAAUAAGGACCGGCUAAUUCCGUGCCAGCAGCCGCGGUAAUACGGAAGGUCCGGGCGUUAUCCGGAUUUAUUGGGUUUAAAGGGAGCGUAGGCCGGAGAUUAAGCGUGUUGUGAAAUGUAGGCGCUCAACGUCUGCACUGCAGCGCGAACUGGUUUCCUUGAGUACGCACAAAGUGGGCGGAAUUCGUGGUGUAGCGGUGAAAUGCUUAGAUAUCACGAAGAACUCCGAUUGCGAAGGCAGCUCACUGGAGCGCAACUGACGCUGAAGCUCGAAAGUGCGGGUAUCGAACAGGAUUAGAUACCCUGGUAGUCCGCACGGUAAACGAUGGAUGCCCGCUGUUGGUCUGAAUAGGUCAGCGGCCAAGCGAAAGCAUUAAGCAUCCCACCUGGGGAGUACGCCGGCAACGGUGCAACUCAAAGGAAUUGACGGA
RNAcentral lists this ribosomal RNA (926 nucleotides) under uncultured Bacteroidota bacterium. RNAcentral's name for it is "bacterial SSU rRNA". It matches the Rfam family "Bacterial small subunit ribosomal RNA", at positions 1 to 917 of the family's 1533-position model. The record is from RNAcentral. Lineage: Bacteria; Pseudomonadati; Bacteroidota.